UUCACCUCCUCUGCGGUUUCCAGGCACCCCACACUGUCCUCCAUCUUCUUCUUCAUGUCGGCCACCUGGGCAGGAGCAAGGAGUAAGCAGACGCCCGAGAUGGCACCUGCUCAGGUCACACACCUGUCCCUGGGGCAGGCAUGAAAUAAACAUAAGGGAUCAACCAAGCAACCACUACAGAGAAAUGCAGUUGCCAUCACUCAGGAAGCCACGUGACGCCAGGUAGCACAUCAGAUAGCAAACUCAGCGCAGGCCUGGCAAUCACGAGGCCAAAGAGCUCAGCCACGACCCUAACAGGGUAACUGGCCAUUUCUCCAGGUGACAAGGGCACAGGGACUGCCAGCACCAUGGCUUGCGGCUACGUUCAUAAUGGAAGCAGGGCUACAUUGUAGCUAGACUGGUGAAAAUAAAGUGUAAAAAUAGUGGUGUCCCCCAUCAAAGUCCACAGAUGGAUUACUCUCUUAGGGACUCAGGCUAAGAGCACUGAUGUGGGACAGCGUGGGGGGGGGGGUCCCUGGGAGAGAGGGCAAUAGGCUGGCCCAGCGGCAGGUUGUCCUGCAGUGCCCAGGCCAGCAGCUCUCCAGCCUGCAGCAUCUGGCCAGUUCCCUGGGCCUCCGAACCUGGGCGUGGAGGGUGGCGAUCUGCUUCUCCAGGUUGUGCUUGGCUUCCUCCUCCUCCUCCAGCUGCUCCCGGAAGGAAUUCUUCUCAUCCUCCACCUGCUUGAGCUUGGUGCUCAGGCCCAGCUUCUGCCGGUUCUCCUCCUGCAGCAGCUCCUACUCCCGGGAUGAGAUGGGUGGGGGGGCUCAGGAGAGCAGUUUCUGAACCCCAGGGACCCCACACCCUUGAGAAGAGGGAGGAGCUGGUCCUGCUGAUUCACGGAAUGGCCACAUAAAGACCUGGUGGGAGCUGGGAAGACGCAGAGACUCCCCCAACCCAGGAUGAAGGGGAGGAUGGGCAACCUGAUGGGCUCUGGAGCUAAUGUCGUAUAGGCACAGGGGCCUUCCUGGAGGAGUCCACCUUCCAGGAACCUGGCACCAUCCUUACCUGAGUGUCCUGAAGCUGGGACUCCAGUGCAGAGAAGUCCUUGGUGAGCUUGCUGGACUUGCUGUCGGACUGGGUGAGGAGCCCGGUCACGUUGUCCAGCUCCACCUGCACCAGGAGGGCAGACAUGAAGGACCAUGGACCCGGGCCCAAUGCUCCAGCCCCACCUCGGCUCCUUUAGGUAAAGCUGAACCGGAGCCACAAGCUGAACUGUGAGGGCCUCCCUCAGGAGCCAGUUUGAGUAGACAGAGUCAGAGACAGAGCAUGCGUGCACCCGGGGGUCUGGGCCACGACUGCUGCUAGGGCCCACCGCCCGCACUGGCGUCCCAGCGGAGGCCUCACCUGCAGCUUGGUGACCUUGUCGGCCAGCUCCGUGCGCACGCGCUCUCCCUCAUUGAACUUGACCUGCAGCUCCUGCAGCUGCGCCUCCACUUUCUUGCGUUUGUGCUCCGAGUCCCCCUUGCCCUGCAGCAGCACCUUCACCUCGUUGGCCAGCUCCCCCCGCUCGUUCUCCAGGGUCUGCUUUGCCUUCUCGAGGUUGGCUUUCACCUGGUGGGGGAGAAAGCGAAGAUGUGAGUGGGGUGUCUCCUGACACGAGGCUGGCUGGCCUCUCAUCACUGGACCCUAGAUCCAGACGUCGCAGCUCCUGUAGCCCCGAAGACAGUGUGCCAGCUGAACUCAGAGGGCUCAGGCCUCAUCUGUCCUGCCUCUUCUCUCUUGGCUGGGAAACUGAGGCACAAAUCACACAGCCCCUAUGAAGGAGAAACUGGCCUCAGAACCAGACAGUUGGGUUGGACUCUGUUAACUGCUCUGCAGGACUGGUUUGGAGACUGGGGACCCUGCCUUCCCCUGGCAGUCUCAGGGGGGCUCUGCCCAAGCACAGGGGAUCCCGCCUUUCCCUGGCAGUCUCAGGAGGGCUCUGCACAGCACAGGGGACCCCGCCUUCCCCUGGCAGUCUCAGGGGGUGGGGGCUUUGCCCAGCACAGGGGCCCCACCUUCCCACAGUGGUCUCGGGGGGCUCCGUACCCGCUUCGUCUGCUCCAGCUGCUCUGCCAGCUCUUCCACAGCCUGUGAGUGCUUCUGCCUCAUCUCCUGGAUCUGGGCCUCGUGGGUCUUGGCCUCCUCCUCCAGGGUCUUCUUCAGGAUGUUCACCUCCUGCUCACGUUUUGAUCUGGACAGAGAGAUCCCCUAAGAGUGGAGGCCGGGGGCACUGGAGCGAGCUGUCCCUGGGGCUCUUCCCUAACCAAACAGAUGCCUGGCCAGAGCACAGGCACUCCAGGCAGCUUUUCUAUCCAUCAGCCCCUCCUGGCCAUCUAUCCCGCAGCCCAGGCUCAAACACGCAUUGUGAGAGGCCUCUGUAGCCUUUCAGCUUUAAAGUCCACCCUUGCCUCACCCCCAAUUUUGAGCCAGGUUCUUCAACAGCCUUUCUACUCUGUAGAAAGAAACUGCUGAGGAACCAACAGCUUCCAUGCCUGCUGACGCUUAACAAGGCCAUGGUGUGUGUGUGUGUGUGUGUGUGUGUGUGUGUGUGUGUGUGUGUUUGUGUGUGUUUAUGUGUGUUUAUGUGUGUGUGUGUGCGUGCACGCGCGCAAAGGCCCAGGGUCCAUGCCUCCAAGCCAAGGCCUCUCUGGCUGCCCUCCCCAUCCCCAGGGACUUGGCCCCAGGGCACACCUAAGCUCCUGCUGGGCAGCAGUGGAAUCCAGAGUGUCCUCCAACUCUGUUUUCAGUGCCUCUAGCUCUUCCCCAAGGUCCCGUUUCUGCUUCUCAGCUUUAUUCCUGGAAGCACGCUCAGACUCCAGGUCUUCCUGGAGUUCAGAGAUCUGAGAUUCCAGCUCCCGGAUCUUCUUGAGGGCCAUAUUCUUCUGGGCAGCUUCUUCUUCCACUCUGCCAAAGCAACCAACAAUAUCAGGAUGAGGCCAGUUUCACCUCCAAAGAACAGCGUUUGCAGGACAGGCCUGAGAGGGGUGCAGCAGCCAAAGCUGCCUCUGGUGGUCACAAUCAUAGAUAGCACUUAGGACCACUCUCAGCAAAACCAACAACUGAGGCAGCCAGAUUUAAGGGCAAUACCACUCAGAACUAGAAAACCUCAUAGAGGAAUCAUUUCCAUUUCCAAGGUAAGACUCACUGCUUCAAAUAUUUUUAAAACUCAAAUGACUUAUAAAAUGGGAAGAAAAGGAAAUAAAAUGCUACACCACAGAAUGACUGCAACUAAAUAAAAAUACAAAUGUGCUAUGGAGUUCACCAAUUAGAACAAUUAGAAAUGAAGGGACCGGGUACUGGUGGCUCACACCUGUAAUGCCAGCACGUUGGGAGGCCAACAUGGGCAGAUCACAAGGUCAGGAGAUUGAGACCAUCCUGGCUAACAUGGUGAAACUCCAUCUCUACUAAAAAUACAAAAAUUAGCUGGGAGUGGUGGUGCACACCUGUAGUCCCAACUACUCAGGAGGGUGAGGCAGGAGAAUCAUUUGAACCCGGGAGGCGGAGGUUGCAUUGAGCAGAGAGUGCCACUGCACUCCAGCCUGGUGACAGGGAAGACUCCGUCUCAAAAAAAAGGAAAGAAAUUAAGAAAGGAAAGGACUGGCCGGGCGCAGUGGCUCAGGCCUGUAAUCCCAGCACUUUGGGAGGCCAAGGCGGGCGGAUCACGAGGUCAAGAGAUCAAGACCAUCCUGGUCAACAUGGUGAAACCCUGUCUCUACUAAAAAUACAAAAAAUUGGCAGGGCAUGGUGGCGCGUGCCUUUAAUCCCAGCUACUCAGGAGGCUGAGGCGGGAGAAUUGCCUGAACCCAGGAGACGGAGGUUGCGGUGAGCCAAGAUCGCGCCAUUGCACUCCAGCCUGGGUAACAAGAGCGAAACUCCAACUCAAAAAAAAAAAAAAAAAAAAAAAGAAAGUCAAGGACUGUUGUAGGUGGGUGAUAGAGCUGUGGAUGACUUUUUUCAAAUUAUAAACAAAUAAACAAAAGACAAAUGAGAUACCUCACCGCGCCCUGAAUGCACAAGAACUGUUUUGCUAUGAAAUAAAUGGCUCUUCUAAGACAAUAGGGGAAAGAAUGCUCACAGCUCACUGGUGCAGAGAACCAGGGCCGGCGGCAAGCAGAAAGGGCUGUCCGGCCAUCUGGGCUUGGCGGGCAGGCGGGGGCCUCACCUGGCCAGGGCAGCCUGGAGCUCCUCUUCUUUCUUGGCCAGCUGCAUCUUGAGCUCCGCAAUCUGCGCCUGGAGCUCGGCGAUCUGGUCACUGAGGUCCGUGGAGUCUCCCUCCAGCUUCCGGCGUGUUUUCUCUAGCUCCUGCCGCUGCUUUUCCUCCCUGCGGAGGCGCUCUGCAAGGAGGGGGAGCCCACAUAGCCCUCAGUGCCUUGGGCUCUUCUGUCUCUGGGUUAGUUACUUAUAUGAAAUACUGAGUCCUCGUUAUGAAAAGUGUGUAAGGCUCAAGGCAUCACAGAUACACAGACACUUGCACCCAACUCCUAGAUGCAGGAAGAGGACAUCAUUGCAAACUGCCAGUCCCUGGUGUGUCACUCUCCACCUCACCCCUUGUCCUUUCCUGCCAGUAGUUAAGUACUUACGUACCCUCCUAAAGCUGACGUUCAUAAUUCCCUUUUUCCUUGAAGGCUGUACCAUGUCUGUAUCUUUAAAAACUAUGUUCAAUAUUGUGUGCAUCGGAACUUAUGUAAUGGAACUGCCUUGUGUGAAUUCCACAGUUGGAACUGCAGAGUCAGGGCUCAAUGUCUAGCUUUAUAACUCUGUGAUGUCAAUACCUCUUCGAUGACCUACUUCAUUAGGCUGUGUUGUGAGGCGCCAGUGAGUCACAUCUUAAAAAACACCGACAACAGGUCGACAAUGGUUAUUCCCUGACGGGCCUCUGCCGCCCCAUCUCACAAUCUUGAGAUUUAGCCUGUGAAGUUUCGCUGGAAUAGAUUUGUAUGGACAUUUGCCUACCAUUCCAUGAUGGGCACACAUCACAACUUAUUUAUGUACCCGUCCUGCAGCUGACAGGCAUGGACUGUGUUCACCGCACGCUCUGAUAAUGCUGCUGCGAGUGCCCUGCUCACUCUCAGCGCACACGACAGAGUGAUGGACGGAACCAGCAUGCCCAGCUUCAACCUCGCUAGGACUGCCCGAUCACCCUCUGAAGUUGUCUACCAGUUUGCAGUUCCAGCAGCAGCCUGUGUGCGCUGUGACAGCUCCGUAUCUGUGUAAAACUAAAGCUCAUGGAACUUAAGUAAAAGGUGUAAGCUGAACCAGCUCAUCAGUGACAGAGCUAGUGAGUCCUCUAGGCCAAAACCAGAGCCACCUUGGAAGCCUCAGAAGCUCCUGAAACCCACGGUGCACGACAACAGGGGAACACCAAGGCUCUCCUCCUAACACGUUUGAAGCUGGGGAGCAUCUAGCCACAGAGCAACAGGGGCCUGGAAGCCCAGGCUCCCGCCGGCACCAGACACAGCUCCCCUCGACCUGCUGACCUCGGGUCUGAAGGGCAGCAGCCAGUGCUGCAGUGUGGUCCAGGCUCACCUGUGAGCUGAGGAUGCCUCAGUGUUCUGGUCAUAGGCCAGCCCCUGCCCACCAGCCCCCUGCCCGUCACCUCCCUCACCUUCUAA
Long non-coding RNA from Callithrix jacchus (white-tufted-ear marmoset), 5633 nucleotides. RefSeq lists it as uncharacterized. The record is from RefSeq and is a predicted model, not a curated record. Lineage: Eukaryota; Metazoa; Chordata; Mammalia; Primates; Cebidae.